CACUGUCAAUAACUUCUUCGAUUCUCUCACCAAUUGAAAACACAAGAGUAGCGUUUGCAAAUGACACCACAAUGUAUGCAUCAAACUCAUCAUAUCCUGAGAGAUGAACGAGGACCCUGGCCACAAAGCGUAAAUAUUUGAGGUGUUUCUUCUUCAAACAGAUUAGAGACCUUCAUGUCCGUUAUCGGCAUCAAGCUCUCAACCUGAUCAAUCCCAACAAGGUUCUUAAGUUUUCUAGGUUGGAAACACAAUGGCUGGAAAUCCUCUUCAGUUUCCAUGAACAAAGCUGAGGAGGACUCCACAUCAGGAUCUUCGCCUAUUGCCUGGAACUGAUACAAAGCGUGAUUCCCAAACUCCGAAGCAGCAAACAAAAGCUGCGAAUUCAACACACACAUUGAAGUUGUGACUGGGAUUGUAUCAAAGUACUUGAUCUUCAAUUCCGAGACAACAUCAUCAUUAUGCUC
Molecule: long non-coding RNA, 464 nt
Filed under: Rosa chinensis
Lineage: Eukaryota; Viridiplantae; Streptophyta; Magnoliopsida; Rosales; Rosaceae
Description: sRNA RchiOBHm_Chr1g0365351
Source: RNAcentral